Molecule: long non-coding RNA, 3475 nt
Filed under: Homo sapiens (human)
Lineage: Eukaryota; Metazoa; Chordata; Mammalia; Primates; Hominidae
Description: non-protein coding lnc-ALOX12-1:9
Source: RNAcentral
CACAGGACCUGGAAAACCCUCAGAAACUCAAUUGUUCUCUCUCUUUCUUCUCUCUCCAGUCAGAACCUUCAGGAAGGGGAGAGUGGCUCAUGGGCUGAGUGGAUAAACCACAAAAUGGGUAAUAUACUAUAGGAGGCAGAGUUUGAGAUCGACGUCCCCCUGCACCUGGGGCGCCUCCUGAUGGUGAAGCUGCGCAAACACAACGUGCUGUUGAGUCUCGACUGGUUCUGCAAGUGGAUCUCAGUGCAGGGCCCGGGGACCCAAGGCGAGGCCUUUUUCCCCUGCUACCGCUGGGUGCAGGGCCACGGAAUUAUCUGCCUGCCUGAGGGUACUGGUGGGGCUCCUGGAAAGAUGGGUUAAUCCUGCCUAUAGCAGGGAAUAGGCAACCGGACCUUCCUAGGGACGAGCGAUUCCUCGAGGAUAAGGAUUUAGACUUUAAUGUCUCCCUAGCAAAAGGGUUGAAGGACUUGGCCAUUAAGGGGACACUGGAUUUCAUAAAUUGUGUGAAAAGGCUGGAAGAUUUCAAAAAAAUAUUCCCACAUGGAAAGACUGUCCUGGCUGAGCGGGUUUAUGAUUCUUGGAAGAAUGAUGCCUUCUUUGGGUACCAGUUUCUCAAUGGUGCAAACCCCAUGCUCCUGAGGUGUUCUUCAAGGCUCCCAGCCUGCCUGGUGCUGCCUCCAGGGAUGGAAGACUUGAAGACCCAGCUGGAGAAAGAACUCCAGAGGCUGGAUCUCUGUUUGAAGUGGAUUUCUCCUUGCUGGAUGGAGUCAAGCCUAAUGUCAUCAUUUUUAAGCAGCAAUGCGUGGCAGCCCCUUUGGUCAUGCUGAAGCUUCAGCCUGAUGGAGGACUCUUACCCAUGGUCAUCCAGCUCCAGCCACCUUGACACGGAUGUCCCCCACCUCUGCUCUUUCUGCCCUCGCAUCCCCCCAUGGCCUGGCUCCUGGCCAAGACCUGGGUCCGGAGCUCUGAUUUCCAGCUGCAGCAGUUACAGUCACAUCUGCUGAGGGGACACUUGAUUGCUGAGGUUAUUGCUGUGGCUACAAUGAGAAGCUUGCCUAGCCUCCAUCCUAUCUACAAGGUCUCCUGAUCCCCCACUUCCGCUACACCAUGGCGAUCAACACGCUGGCCCAGAGUAGUCUUGUCUCCGAAUGGGGAAUUUUUGACCUGGUGGUGAGCACUGGUAGUGGAAGCCACGUGGACAUUCUUCAGAGAGCCAUGGCUUGUUUGACCUAUCAUUCCCUCUGUCCUCCUGAUGACCUGGCUGACCGUGGGCUCCUGGAUGUGAAAUCUUCUUUUUAUGGCUAAGAUGCCAUCAGGCUGUGGGGAAUCAUCAGCCGGGAAUAGGUACGUGGAGGGGAUGGUUGGGCUUUUCUACAAUAGUGACCAAGCCAUGAAGGAUGAUCUAGAGCUGCAGGCCUGGUGCAGAGAGAUGACUGAGACUGGACUGCAGAGGGCCCAAGACCAGGGGUGUUCCUCAUCUCCUUAGAGUCCCGGGCUCAGCUCUGCCACUUUGUCACCAUGUGCAUCUUCACAUGCACAGGUCAGCAUGCUUCUAACCACCUGGGCCAGCUGGACUGGUACUCCUGGAUCCCUAAUGGCCCAUGCACCAUGCAGAAGCCCCCGCCCAUCUCUAAGGAUGUGACAGAGAAGGAUAUAGUGGACUUACUGCCCAAUCUCCACCAGGCACGUAUGCAAAAGACCUUCACAAAGUUCCUUGGCAGACGCCAGCCUGUCAUGCAUGAGGAGAAAUAUUUCUCUGGUCCUGAGCCCCAAGCUGUGCUGAGACAAUUCCAGGAGGAACUGGCUUCCAUGGACAAGGAGAUUGAGGUCCGGAAUGCAGUCCUGGACCUGCCCUGUGAGUACCUUUGACCCAGCAUGGUAGAGAACAGCGUGACCAUCUGAGAGGCCUUGCCCGCCUCAGCUCCAAAGCUCCACCAUCCCUGAGUGCCUUUGAGUAUUCCGUCCUCCUCACAUCCUCUGGUGAACAAAUUGUCCCCAAAGCUUUGUGGUCAGGGUAUCCAGAGCUGCUCACCACACAACUAUGGGGAAUACACAGUGAUGGUCCCCAUUGCAUUUGGAAGUGGCAUCCCCCAAAGCUGCCCUACCUUAAAUGUCCAUCCAGUCCUGCACUUCCUCACCCCGAUCCCUGCACACCUCCUCAUUGCCAAAGGACCUGGCUUAGAUACAAGUAAAAAUUUUUCCACCAAUAUAUACAUCCCUAAACAACAUGACUUAGUUUUGAAACACUGAGCAGCAAGCACCAAUCUAGAAGAAUAAGGAAAGGGUGAUGUUACCACUGUUUGAGGAAGGCUCAGGAGGAGAAGAUAAACUGAACAGCCUCUCGGUCAUUGUCUGGCUUCAGCUUCCCUAAGCAUUUAUAAGAGCUUUUUAUGGGAAAAUCAUUGAGUAAGAUGAUGAGUAACACUGGGAAUCACUGGGCUCAGCACAGGUGAGACAUACGGUAACGCUGGAGAAUGGGCCGAGUUUUAGAUGUUUGGCCAGGAUAUAGUCAGAAGGAGAUGGCUGUUGUGUAUAUUCUGCUCAUCACGACUUCUCCUCCACUUCCCAGAAGAGGUCAAGGCAGAACAUUUCUGGAUGACACCCACAGUAGAUCAAGCAUCAGAGCACUCGAGGAAUGAGCAGGAACUUUAUCAGCAUGUGGUCAAAAUAAAGAAAGUACAAAGGAAAAAUCUGGGCCAGACUCUGGGUAUUGAGUCCUUGAUUUAAAAGUUAGCAUGAUGGCAGUGGGGAUGGUGGUGAUGGAAGCCCUCAGUGUGUCUCUCCCUGGAGUCCUGGUGUCCCACUUCUUCAGGCUGGACUUGUUUCCUUCUGCACCUAGUGCAUAACUGUCAUUCUGGACUCUCCCAUCACCCUUACCCUAGAGUCCCUUCACCACUCUCCUGUGUUUGAUUCCUACCUGUUGUGUCCCAUAUGUUCUUUCUUGGCUUGUCCUCUCAUUCAAGAAGCACAGCCUCCAGUAGCCCCUUAAGAAAGAACGCAUGGGAAGUAAAUCUUGCAUAUCUGAAAAUGCCCUUAUUUUACACUCAUAUUUGAUUGAUAAUUUAGCUGGGUGCAGAAUUCUAGGCUGGGAAUAGUUUUUCUUAAGAAUUUUGAAAAGCAUUGCUCUGGUGUCUCUUGCCUCUACCAUUGUUUAUUGAAGCCGGCAAAGCCAAAGCUGAUUCCCGAUCCUUUAUAUUUGAUCUUCGUAUGUACCCUCUCCCUUGCUCUCUAAGCUUUUAAGAUCUCUUGGACUUUGUUCUGAAACUCCAUGAUAACGUGCCUUGACAGGUCUUUUUUCAUCCGUUUCUCUGGGCACUUGAAGAACCCUUUCAAUCUGGAAACUCAUGUCCUUCUUGAGUUUUGAGUAAACUUUUCUGUAUGGUUUUAUUGAUGACUGCCUCUCCUACAUAUUCUUUUUCUCUCUUGAGCACCAAUUAUUCAAAUAUUGAACACACCGGUUUUUUUUUGUUUUUUU